Molecule: ribosomal RNA, 238 nt
Filed under: Uloborus diversus
Lineage: Eukaryota; Metazoa; Arthropoda; Arachnida; Araneae; Uloboridae
Description: partial 16S ribosomal RNA gene
Source: RNAcentral
UGUUGAACUUUACUUUAGUUUAGCUGGGGCAGCCAUAUAAUUAUAAUUUUAUAUUAUUAAUACUAAAAAUAGAUCUAAUAUAAUUAAUUUUAUAAUCAAGUUACCUUAGGGAUAACAGCAUAAUAAUUUUUAACAGCUCUAAUUUAAAAAAAAGUUUGUGACCUCGAUGUUGAAUUAUUACAUCUAAUUUUAGAAAAUUAAAAUUAAGAAAGUCUGUUCGACUUUUAAAAUUUUACAU